AUGGGUAGAUUUGUGAGAAAACAGAUCUUCAACCUUUCCAUAUUUUCCCAACGAGUUUUACCGAGACGAUGCACAUGUGUUUGUACUAUCGUGGAGUUGAAAACCAAAAUAUCGUGUCAAUUGAUUACGGUGAAGUGUUGCUUAUAUCCUCAUUUGGUGGCAAAAUAUCCUGUUGAUGCCUUGUACAUUCAAUACAAAUGGAUGAAAUCCAGUUGCCUAGAUUUUCAUUUCGUUAGAAGAUUACUUGUUUUUCUGGUUGGUGGAGAAGGCAUUGCAUUAUAUUCCUUAAUGCUGUUAUUAUUAUUAUUAUUCUGUACAUGA
This is a non-coding RNA of Vicia faba (fava bean), 321 nucleotides long. The record is from the annotation of a GenBank genome assembly. Lineage: Eukaryota; Viridiplantae; Streptophyta; Magnoliopsida; Fabales; Fabaceae.